AUGGCGUUUGGGCUGUGGAAGAGACGUCGGGGCAAACCAACGGUUGGUGCAAAUGGGGCAAAAACAAAUACGUAUACAAUGUUAGUCAUGUUGCAAGUGCAAUCCCUUUCACUGCUUCUGCCUGCCUCUUGCUGCCUAGCAGCUCCCAAAUCUCAAGUCCCAACCACACCUCCCAUCCAGCAGUGUCUCUCAUCUCCCUUGCUUUUUGCUUCCAUUGAUGCACACACCACAUCCUCCAAAUCAAGCACGAUGGACGCCCAAGGUGCCCUCGACUCGCUCCUCGGCCGCCUCACCACCAUCCUCGUGGACGAGGCAAAACUGCUCGGCAACCUCCAUGGCGAUGUUGAGUUCAUCAAGGAGGAGAUGGAGUGCAUGAAUGGCGUGCUCCUCCACCUCGCGGAGGCUCAACACCUCGAUCGCCAUGUUCGCGCUUGGAUGAAGCAAGUCGUUGGCCUCGCCCGCAACUGCGAGGGCAACGUCGAGCUCUACAUCCACAGUGUCACGGAUGCUGGCCACCAUGACCGUGGCUUCCUUGGCUACUUGCGGCAGAUCAUCCGGUAUAUGCGUACCAUCCCGGAGCGGCAUCGGAUUGCGACGCGGAUACGUGAGCUUAAGGUCAGGGCGCACGAUGUGGGCCACAGGCAGCUGAGGUAUGGUAUCACCAUGCCACCGGCUGCUGACCAGGACGGCGCGAUAUUCAUGGAUGACGACAUAGCAGUCCCCGACGGACCAGAAGCCGAGCUGGAAGAUGCUCGGAGACGCGCUCUUCUUGUCAAUUGUUCGUGGUCGGAGGACAAAGAGGCUUAUGAACAGAAAAUCAUGGAUGAUACCAUCAAGUCCCUGCUGUUGUCUGAGGAGGAACCUGUUGAUGAACUAGCAAAUGGGGAAUCACACCCGAGGAUAUUCCUGAUGACCUGGGAUGAAUGUUCCGGAGAGGAUAGGGAUUUCACAAUUCUUGUAGCUAAGAAACUAUAUGAGCAGGAAAUCAGCUCAUUUAGUUGCAAAGCCCGGGUCAGCCAUUACAAAUUGGAUUCUGUGGUGGUAUUACUGCAGGAAAUACUGCACCAAGUGACGUCCCUUCCAGCUGAACAAGAAGACGUGCCCAGGUUGGAAGCGGAGAAGAGUACAGAAACAUCACUGGGUGAUGACGAGGACGGCGAGGCAAUGCAACUCACCAAGAAACUUGAGGGGUUCCUCAAAGGUAAACGAUUCUUGAUCAUUCUUUAUAAUGUCUAUGGUAUAGAAUGGGAUACCAUAAGGUCUGCCCUGUUACAUGUUACUGCUCAAGGCUCUCCUGGUAGCGCUAUUGUCAUUAGCACAGAGUAUGCUGAUUUAGUGGAGUCCCCCUAUAAAAUCCUCAAGCCACAAACUCUAUUACGUGCUUUCUGCAGUAAAACCAUGGAGCUUGCUAGAUGUUUUGAAGAUUCUAUAUAUCAUAUAUCGAAUAUUUUAGAAUUAUGUCACCCCGAUGUCUUUGCAAUGAAGAUGUUCCAACAUCUUCUGUAUGUUAACCCUGGAAGAGGUAAAACACAGCUAGACCAAUUUACAAAAACCUUACAGGGUUGUCGAGAUGCAAACAAAAGUGUCGCAAAGCAAAUGGUGAAGAUCUCCUACAAUGACCUGCCUGCCAAGUACAGGAGCUGCUUGUUGUACCUGACCAUCUUCCCAGAUGGUGACCCCAUUAGGAGAACAACCGUGUGUACAAGAUGGAUAGCCGAAGGGCUGAUAACGUCAAGGGAGAAUCAUGCACAAGAUGAAGCCGAUUCCUGUAUCGAUGCACUCCUCUCAAGGGGUCUCAUUCAACCUGGGCAGAUUAGUGACACGGGCAAGAUCAAGACCUUUACAUUGCAUCGUGUUGUUCGUGAAGUCAUCACCAUGAUUGCUAGAGAUGUUAACUUUGUGGACACGGACCUACCACCCGAUUUGGCUCGCCACCUUCCUGUUCACAGUAGAACUGGGGUGCAAACAUCUCAUGCCGAUCGUUCCAUGAAAGCAGCUGAUGGCAAUGGCAUUGUGGCAUUUCUUCCAGACUUGGCAAAGUCAUCUCAGUGGCAGCUUAUGAAGAUGCUGGAUCUUGAAGGUUGUAGAGGUUUAAAGAAGCACCAUUUGAAAAGCAUCUGCAAAAUAAUACUGCUCAAGUAUUUGAGCCUCAGGAACACAGAUAUUACUGAACUGCCCAAGCAGAUCGAGAAGUUGCAGUGUCUGGAGACCUUUGACAUCCGGCAAACAGCGGUACAGUCAUUCGCCACUAAAUCGAUCAUGGUUCCAAUGCUAAAGCAUCUACUUGCUGGUCAGGCUGAGUCUCCAAGCAACAAUUCCGAUGGGCCUCAAGAUUUGUUUACGGCGGUGCGCCUUCCCAGCAGCAUCAGAAGAAUGGAACAAUUGGAGACACUAUCCCAUGUUGAAGCUUCCCACCGUUUGAGUGAUUUAACUGAUGUUGGCCAUCUGUUACGGCUGAGGAAACUGGGUGUGAUUCUUUCUGGUAAGAAAGGCGCUUUGGAUAUUUUGUUCCAGCAGAUUGAAAGAUUACACGGUUGCCUCCGCUCUUUGUCAAUCCAGAUCAACCAACCGGUUUCCAAAAAUGAGGAUACUCCUUGUGCAGAGGAGGUGAUCACAUUAGUCUCGCCUCCAAAACUUCUUCAGAGCCUAAACAUUAGAGGCAUCAGGAGUGAUCUUCUCAUGUGGAUUGCAGAGCUUGAUCAACUUACUAAGAUAACACUGAGCGAGACCUACCUGGCAGAGGAUUACACACGCAUCCUUGGCAAGCUUGCAGCUCUGCGUUGCCUCAGGCUUCGGCGCAAUUCAUACGCCGGAAGCAGGCUCACUUUCAAGGAUGAAGAGUUCAAGAGCCUCAAGUCAUUGGUCGUCGAUGACGGCAUCAUCAUCAACAUUAGCUUUGACACCGGAGCGGCUCCCAAGAUCGAGACCGUUGUGUGGUAUUUCGCCACAAUGGAGUCUAUUUCUGGACUCCUCUGCCUUCCCAAACUGAAGAAGCUCGAGCUCAAUGGUGAUUGUGACCCUGAUGCAGUGAGACAAGAACUUGAUGAAGAGCACCCCAACAGUGUUGAUUUCAAGCACAGGCCAGGCCAUGGACAUCAAGAAGAUGGAGCUACUGUUGCUGCCUCCACCUCCAUGAGCAAGUGA
This 3144-nucleotide ribosomal RNA is filed under the name Triticum aestivum (bread wheat). Its description in RNAcentral is "partial small subunit ribosomal RNA". The record is from RNAcentral. Lineage: Eukaryota; Viridiplantae; Streptophyta; Magnoliopsida; Poales; Poaceae.